CAAGUCGAGUGCGCGUUUCCGUAGCAAUACGGAAAUGGCGCACGGCGCACGGGUGCGUAACACGUGGGUAACCUGCCCUUUGGUGGGGAAUAACCUCGCGAAAGCGAGGCUAAUUCCGCAUAAGAUCCGCAAGGAUGAAAGCCGUAAGGCGCCGAAGGAGGGGCCCGCGCACGAUUAGCUAGUUGGUGAGGUAAUGGCUCACCAAGGCUAUGAUCGUUAGCUGGUCUGAGAGGAUGGCCAGCCACACUGGAACUGAGACACGGUCCAGACUCCUACGGGAGGCAGCAGUGGGGAAUCUUGCACAAUGGGCGAAAGCCUGAUGCAGCGACGCCGCGUGGGGGAUGAAGCUUCUCGGAGUGUAAACCCCUUUCGACCGGGACGAAUACCUCGCAAGAGGGGUGACGGUACCGGUAUAAGAAGCCCCGGCUAACUACGUGCCAGCAGCCGCGGUAAGACGUAGGGGGCCAGCGUUGCUCGGAAUUACUGGGUGUAAAGGGUUCGUAGGCGGUGUGGCAAGUCGGGAGUGAAAUCCCUGGGCUCAACCCAGGGGCUGCUUCCGAAACUGCUGUGCUAGAGUGUGGGAGAGGCGCGUGGAAUUGCAGGUGUAGCGGUGAAAUGCGUAGAUAUCUGCAGGAACACCCGUGGCGAAAGCGGCGCGCUGGACCACUACUGACGCUGAGGAACGAAAGCUAGGGGAGCAAACAGGAUUAGAUACCCUGGUAGUCCUAGCCCUAAACGAUCAGGACUUGGGGUGCCACCCGUUCGGGUGUCGUCCCGGAGCUAACGCGUUAAGUCCUGCACCUGGGGAGUACGGUCGCAAGACUGAAACUCAAAGGAAUUGACGGGGGCCCGCACAAGCGGUGGAACAUGUGGUUCAAUUCGACGCUACGCGAGGAACCUUACCUGGGCUCGAAAUGCUAGUGACCAGCUUUA
This 933-nucleotide ribosomal RNA is filed under the name uncultured Pseudomonadota bacterium. Its description in RNAcentral is "bacterial SSU rRNA". It matches the Rfam family "Bacterial small subunit ribosomal RNA", at positions 58 to 1004 of the family's 1533-position model. The record is from RNAcentral. Lineage: Bacteria; Pseudomonadati; Pseudomonadota.